GAUGAACGCUGGCGGCGUGCCUAAUACAUGCAAGUCGAGCGAACGGACGAGAAGCUUGCUUCUCUGAUGUUAGCGGCGGACGGGUGAGUAACACGUUGAUAACCUACCUAUAAAACUGGGAUAACUUCGGGAAACCGGAGCUAAUACCGGAUAAUAUUUUGAACCGCAUGGUUCAAAAGUGAAAGACGGUCUUGCUGUCACUUAUAGAUGGAUCCGCGCUGCAUUAGCUAGUUGGUAAGGUAACGGCUUACCAAGGCAACGAUGGAUAGCCGACCUGCGAGGGUGAUCGGCCACACUGGAACUGAGACACGGUCCAGAAUCCUACGGGAGGCAGCAGUAGGGAAUCUUCCGCAAUGGGCGAAAGCCUGACGGAGCAACGCCGCGUGAGUGAUGAAGGUCUUCGGAUCGUAAAACUCUGUUAUUAGGGAAGAACAUAUGUGUAAGUAACUGUGAACAUCUUGACGGUACCUAAUCAGAAAGCCACGGCUAACUACGUG
RNAcentral lists this ribosomal RNA (497 nucleotides) under uncultured bacterium. RNAcentral describes it as "partial 16S ribosomal RNA". It matches the Rfam family "Bacterial small subunit ribosomal RNA", at positions 28 to 507 of the family's 1533-position model. The record is from RNAcentral.